ACCAGUUUGGCUGCGUAACAGGUCGGCAAAUCUCCUCACUCAGAUAUUCUUCCCGAACCGACAGCCACAAGUGGCGCCCGAACAGGGACGUGAGUGAAGAAGGUCUGCUGGAGCAGAGAAAGUGAAACUGACCAGAAGAAUGAGAAACCCCAGGACAAGUCUGCUGGCAGUGGAUAUAAGGAGAUGGACAAUCCGUGUGGGUGCCCUCAAGGUGUGUGUGACCAUGGAACGGGAGACUGGAGAAAUCCAUGGAUCUCAACUGUGGGCCCAGCUCCUCCAGUACGAGCCAUGAGCUAGUUGAAUCUGAAUGCAAAGACAGAACAAGGACCGACUGGAGUCACACUGACAUCAACCCCCAUAAAAUGGGGACAGCUCAAGAAAACCACACAGGAAGCUGAGAAACUGCUGGAGCAAAACCCCUGACUCCAUGUUUAUGGCCAUGCUAGCUGUAAUAUCCUGUGCGGUAUGUUUUCCCUGUGCAGAGGCAAAAACUUAUUGGGCAUAUAUUCCUAACCCACCAGUAGUACGACCGGUACUCGGGAGCAACACUCCUCCUGAGAUAUAUCAUGAUCAGGGAGCAUGGACACCAGGACCCCUAACUCCCCCUGACAGAGAGUGAUUAGAUUCUCAGAACAAUGGUAUCAAUUAUACUGCACCAUUGGAGGGACUUCUUUAUGUGUCACCCAGGAUGCAUCACUCAACCGCAGUUGCCUUGCAAUUCAGUCCCAAGCAUGCUUGAGUUACCAUGGAAAAAUUAUGUACCUAUUAGGCCUUAGCUCUAUUAAUAUUACUGGUGUAGUUACUAAUCACUCCUGGCCCCAUCACCCAAAUUGUAUUGAUUGUACAGAAUGGGCUCCCUUUGAUAAUUCUCACCCCUGUCCUUGGACUCAGUGUCUUGGCCCCUUAGCUAAACAACAGUCCAUGUUAAUGGGAGACAUUAUCGACUGGGGUCCCCAUGGUCAUUUAGAUGGGAGAAGUGAGAAUCAGACCUCAUGGCAUAAAUUUUGCUGGCACUGGUGGCGAAACUUGAACAUCUCUUCGCUACAUCCCAAUCUGCUACACAACUUGCUUGGCACAGAAUGGGCUUUAGCCCACCUUUGCCUCAAUGGCAUUAUCAAGGAAAGAGAGGUCCAAUUCAGGAGUCAAUAUGGAAGACAGCACUCCCAUUUAUGAAUGGCAGCAUUUGGGUUGGGACACUAUCCAAUAAUAGUAAUAAUGCUCAAUGCAGUUUUAAUGUUACCUUUGUAGAAAAUACUACCACACAGUUUACAAUUUGUAUUUUUAAUCCGUAUGUUUUUCUAGCAGCAAAAAAGGACCAACUCCGGGUAAACAAUGCCCAAUCGAUUUGUGAUGCCUGUCAACUGUAUCAUUGCCUUAAUCAUAGCACAAUACAAACACACAGCAUAUCCACCCUAAUAAUUCUAGGUCACAUUCCUGGAUUAUAGAUUCCUGUAAAUCUGUCCGAGCCUUGGGAGGCCACCCCCGCUUUACAUUUUGUAAAACUCCUUCUUAUUCAGCUUACUCAUCGUGCUCGUAGAGCUUUAGGCAUGAUAAUUUUUGCUAUAAUUUCCCUAGUCACACUAAUAACCUCUGCUGUGUUGUCCUCAGUAGCACUGCACAGCUCCAUUCAAACAGCUCAAUGUGUGAAAAAUUGGAUGUGCACAGCCGACCAGGAAUGGAUGCUUCAAAAUAAAAUUAACACCAAGAUACAAACAGAAGUGGCAAUGUUAAAGACUACUGUUCUGU
This 1746-nucleotide long non-coding RNA is filed under the name Homo sapiens (human). RNAcentral's name for it is "long non-coding RNA NONHSAT068244.2". Lineage: Eukaryota; Metazoa; Chordata; Mammalia; Primates; Hominidae. The record is from RNAcentral.